This 361-nucleotide ribosomal RNA is filed under the name uncultured bacterium. RNAcentral's name for it is "bacterial SSU rRNA". It matches the Rfam family "Bacterial small subunit ribosomal RNA", at positions 29 to 417 of the family's 1533-position model. The record is from RNAcentral.
AACGAACGCUGGCGGCAUGCCUAACACAUGCAAGUCGAACGAAGCCUUCGGGCUUAGUGGCGCACGGGUGCGUAACGCGUGGGAAUCUGCCCUUGGGUUCGGAAUAACAGUUAGAAAUGACUGCUAAUACCGAAUGAUGUCUUCGGACCAAAGAUUUAUCGCCCAAGGAUGAGCCCGCGUCGGAUUAGCUAGUUGGUGAGGUAAAGGCUCACCAAGGCGACGAUCCGUAGCUGGUCUGAGAGGAUGACCAGCCACACUGGGACUGAGACACGGCCCAGACUCCUACGGGAGGCAGCAGUGGGGAAUAUUGCGCAAUGGGCGAAAGCCUGACGCAGCGACGCCGCGUGGGUGAUGAAGGCCU